Molecule: unclassified non-coding RNA, 3014 nt
Filed under: Hevea brasiliensis (rubber tree)
Lineage: Eukaryota; Viridiplantae; Streptophyta; Magnoliopsida; Malpighiales; Euphorbiaceae
Source: RNAcentral
GUGAAAUUUAGCCUGAAAUUCGGCUUUAGUUUCCACCGGUUGAAGUUCAAGAAGCCAGUUUCAGUGCGUAAACUGCAAAAGCCUCCUCAGCGCAGGCAAAUGACGAGUAGUUCCCACUUCCUCUUUAGCAACGGUGUCGUUUCGCACUCCUCAGCCAUUCCUCCGGUGACCACCUUCCUUGAAUCUCAUCCAGGUGCUUACACAACCACACGGUCUCACGACAACGGUUCCUGCCUCUUGUUCUGGGAUAGGCAUUUACACAGACUUUCAAAUUCCGCCAGAAUUCUCUUCAAUUCAAACCCACAUCUUCUCUUCAAUAUUCCCAUUUCUACAGAGCGAUCAUUGUCAUUGCCGCCGCCGCCACCGAUCUGGGAUUCGGCGGUUAAGGCUUUGGUUGAUGACUCCGUAGGGAAGGUGCUGCCGGUUGCGUUGAGAGAGAGGAAAGAUGGGGAGGAAUUGGCUAUCACGGCUCUUGUAAGUGGGGAUUCCAAGAAAAUGAGAAAAUUUGAAAAUUUGAGUCGGAAAAGUAUUGUUGAGGUGCUUGAUGUGUGUGUGCACAUUGGAAGCUAUGUUCCUCCUGUGUUUGGUGUCAGAGAAAAUGGAGCGCGUGUGGCAGUGGUCGGGCAUGGGAGGGAUAUUGCAGAAGCUAAAUAUUCAGAUUGGGUAAGGUUAAGGAAGCCUCUGGAGAAUUUGAGGCCUCCUUCAGUAACUGAGCUUUUGUUGUCAAAUGAUGGUGAUCAAAUACUUGAAGGUUGCGUGACGAAUUUUUUUGUUGUUUGUCGCAAGGUACUCUCAGGAGAACAGCGAAAUUAAGGGGAACAAUUUUCUUAGUGACAAAAAUUCAUGUCCUUUUGAAGUGCAGACAGCCCCUAUCAGUGAUGGUGUCCUUCCUGGAGUUAUUCGCCAACUAGUCAUUGAAGUAUGCAUAAGCAAGGGAAUCCCAGUUCAAGAAGUUGCACCUUUGUGGUCUAGGCGGGAAUUCUGGCAAGAGGCGUUUAUUACAAGUAUACUUCUGGUUGUUUCUAUACUUUUUGGCAGUAGAUAGUUACAUAUUUAAGUGAACAAAUCAUCUUUGCUUUUAGCCUCUAUAGAUUUUGACUUGUGACUCAAAUUAUUUAUAGCCUUAUAGGAAGUUCCUGAUUGCUGAAAUACUUGACCAGUAAUCACACAUCACAUUGGUCCAUUUGUCAAUAAUAGAUUCAAGUCCUCACUAUGAUUAGAAUGAAGGCUUUGGCUGAGUUUUAAAUUACAUUGGUCUGUGUGUUGGACAGUUCCAUUCAUCUGCUGGAUCUUUAAUUUUUUUACUUUCUUUUGGAAAGAAGCAUAAGGAUUAUUUAAUCUCAAUGGUCCUUUUUUCUAUUUAAAUUUUUGAUUACAGAAUAGGUUAGCAGUUCUACAAGUUUCUCAAGUUCUCUUACCCAUAGAAAGCCAAUUUUUUUUUAUAAUUUUGGUAGUUCCCUACCUGGAUGUCACCAUCAAACAAUAAUUAUAGAAAACCUAAUAAAUUGCAAUCAGUGCAAAUUGAAAUGGCUGCUACAUAAUUUCUCAGUGGUGGAAACAAUUUUUACACCUUCAUCAUCCCCUAGGGGACUUGUCUUUUGCCAACUUGAUUCAUUAAUUAUUCCUCUUCCAAAUGCUUUGUGAUUAAUGCUGCUUUUUCCUGAAUGUUGAUCUUAUCACCAAUAUUGGAAUUUACCUAUUGUUGGUUGUAAGCAAGCUCUUGAUUGUUGAUUCAAGUAUGGUUUUAUGGCAGAUAGCUUGAGAAUUUUACAGCAUGUGGAGAAAAUUCAGGUACCAAGUUCAUGGGAAUCAAUGGAACAAAAGGCUUUCAAGGCGAUUUCUUGGGAAGAGAAGUGUUUUGGGGAGGAUCCUGGGAUGAUUACAGCAGCUAUCCAGGUAAACACUGUGGAAUAUGCUUAAAUUUUGUGAAUAUUUAAUUGUGGCACCCUUGGAACCAUUUUUAAAAAGUCUGCAACCACUUGCGAAAAGCAAUUUUAAGAUAUCAUCUAUAUUUACCCUUGGGCUACAUUUGGUAGGAAGUGUUGUAAUGUAAUAUAAUAUAAUUGUCAUUUUAUUUUAAUGUUUAGUUACAAAUGAUAAUUUUUAUUUUAAUAUGUAGUUUAUUUAGUUGUAAUAACAAUAGAGUGGCAACGACUUUAGUGAUUAUUGACUAGUGGCUGGAUGAUGGUGAUGGUGGUAGUGCCAUAGUGGUGGCCAAGUGUUAAUGGUGGUUGGGCACUGACAAUAAUAGUAGUGGUGGUGACGGCGAUAAUAGUUGCCAGAUGACGGCGAAGUGGUGGCGGCGGCAAUGGUAAUAAAUAAACCAAAAUAUAUAAUUAUAAUUAUAUCAUUUUUGUAUGUAAUUGGCAUUACAUUUGUCAAAGUAUAAUUGACUACAACACAUAAUUGUUAUUAUUAGAUCAUUUUUUUCCUUUUUUAUAAUAAAACAAAAUAAUGAAACAUGCAAUGCAACUAUGAGUUUAUUAUAUUUUUUUAUUACCUCAUGCUAAAUAUAGUCUUAUUUCAUGACUUAUAUUUUUGUUAGACAUAAGAAGGAAACAAAUGAAUACAAUCCCUCUUAUUUAUUUAUUUUGGCAGAAAGAGAUUAUGGAGAAGGCAAGUCUUGAAGGGUAUUUAUUGUAGCAUUUCAUGACAAGUGAAGGGUUCUUGCAUUUCAUACCUUAUCAGUUGGUAAGGUAGAUUAAACUAGCAUUCCACACCCUUAUCUUGAAUUCAAGUUCACAAUGACUGUGUGUGUUUUGCUGGUUCUGUGUUAGGAAGGUGAAGAUUUCCCCAUCAAUCUUCAGCUUUAAGCUUUCAUGUUUUUUGAGCUCAAACUCUGUUAGAGAUGAUGUGAUGAUUAUUAAAAGCAAUAUGCUAUGUAUUGGUGUAAUUUGCUCUUACAGUUGAACUCCAUUGGCAUGUGUUCAUGAUACAGUUACACUUAUCUUCUCAUGUAUCUUGGAUAUUUUAUAUUUACUUAUUUGUUCAUUUAUUUAUUGAUUGGGUGUAAU